AAAGUCCAGUCUCAAAAGUGCUGACCCAGUACAUUGAGUAUCGAGCGAGUCUUGGGCGGGUGUCAGGUGACUGCACUCGUUAAGCGUAGACAGAGAGUCUGUAGACCGGAAGCCGAAAGGUUGAAGUGAUUGAGUCCCGUUAAGACCCUAAUUUAAGAGGGCUGAUGAUUUCGUGGUGUCAGGUAAAAUGGGGUCGGACCA
This is a non-coding RNA of Desulfobacula toluolica Tol2, 201 nucleotides long. The record is from Rfam. Lineage: Bacteria; Pseudomonadati; Thermodesulfobacteriota; Desulfobacteria; Desulfobacterales; Desulfobacteraceae.